RNAcentral lists this ribosomal RNA (465 nucleotides) under uncultured bacterium. RNAcentral describes it as "partial 16S ribosomal RNA". It matches the Rfam family "Bacterial small subunit ribosomal RNA", at positions 28 to 507 of the family's 1533-position model. The record is from RNAcentral.
GAUGAACGCUGGCGGCGUGCUUAACACAUGCAAGUCGAACGGAAAGGCCCAAGCUUGCUUGGGUACUCGAGUGGCGAACGGGUGAGUAACACGUGGGUGAUCUGCCCUGCACUUCGGGAUAAGCCUGGGAAACUGGGUCUAAUACCGGAUAGGACCACAUUUUGGAUGGUGUGGUGGAAAGUUUUUCGGUGUGGGAUGAGCUCGCGGCCUAUCAGCUUGUUGGUGUGGUAAUGGCCUACCAAGGCGUCGACGGGUAGCCGGCCUGAGAGGGUGUACGGCCACAUUGGGACUGAGAUACGGCCCAGACUCCUACGGGAGGCAGCAGUGGGGAAUAUUGCACAAUGGGCGCAAGCCUGAUGCAGCGACGCCGCGUGGGGGAUGACGGCCUUCGGGUUGUAAACUCCUUUCGCUAGGGACGAAGCGCAAGUGACGGUACCUGGAGAAGAAGCACCGGCUAACUACGUG